AUUAGAGUUUGAUUCCAUGGCUCAGGAUGAACGCUAGCGGUGCGCCUAACACAUGCAAGUCGAGCGAGAAAUUUCUAAAAGCUUGCUUUUAGAAAUGGACAGCGGCGAACGGGUGAGUAACACGUUGGUAUCUGCCCCUAGGUCAGGGAUAGCCCAUUGAAAAGUGGAUUAAUACCGGAUAGUCUCGAAAGAGUAAAGAUUUAUUGCCUAGGGAGGAACCUGCGUCCUAUCAGCUAGUUGGUGAGGUAGAAGCUCACCAAGGCUAUGGCGGGUAGCUGGUCUGAGAGGAUGAACAGCCACAAUGGAACUGAGACACGGUCCAUACUCCUACGGGAGGCAGCAGUGAGGAAUCUUCCACAAUGGACGAAAGUCUGAUGGAGCGACACCGCGUGAAGGAUGAAGGUCUAACGAUUGUAAACUUCUUUUCUGAGGGAGCACAAAUGA
RNAcentral lists this ribosomal RNA (444 nucleotides) under uncultured bacterium. RNAcentral's name for it is "bacterial SSU rRNA". It matches the Rfam family "Bacterial small subunit ribosomal RNA", at positions 1 to 455 of the family's 1533-position model. The record is from RNAcentral.